Molecule: long non-coding RNA, 365 nt
Organism: Rhincodon typus (whale shark)
Lineage: Eukaryota; Metazoa; Chordata; Chondrichthyes; Orectolobiformes; Rhincodontidae
Exons: 3
Source: RefSeq, a predicted model, not a curated record
UAGUGGCUGCAUAUUCGUUUCCUAUGAAAUUUUGGUACUGGGAGAAAGUGUGACUCUUGGUACGCAGGCUGUAGAACGAGAAAAGCUGAAAUCGUAUGUCUAUGUGUACCCUAUUCCACUAGAAAAGCAAGGAUUGGAGGGAAUUGCAAGCAAAGCCAAAAAAGAACUGCAAAGGACAGUCAAAAGACUGGUGCAAGCCACGGCUGAGAUUUUCUCAUUGCCACUGGAUGAGCGUUACUUGAGACAGGACGUGGAAGACCAUGAUUCUGAUUUGUGGCUUCUUCUAAAACAGACUCAGUCUGCAGUUAAAGCAGUACGUCUGCAAGCUGUUCAGGAACUGGCAAAGAAGCAUCACUGGCAUGGUA